RNAcentral lists this long non-coding RNA (1381 nucleotides) under Nicotiana tabacum (common tobacco). RNAcentral describes it as "long non-coding RNA (NTAB_LNC018393)". The record is from RNAcentral. Lineage: Eukaryota; Viridiplantae; Streptophyta; Magnoliopsida; Solanales; Solanaceae.
AUCUGUCUUGACUGAAGUUUCUGAUCCAAUGUCAACCAAUCCAAAAUCCAUGAAUGUGUUUGAAUCAGCUGGAACUCCUGAGCUUUCUUCUACACUUACUAGUUAUGAUGGCGACGACGGAGAUUGGGCCACUCAAGAAAGUACUCUCCUUGGUGAUGAUGUCAAUGAGUAUGAAUUAGAGCCAAAAAGAAGGUACCUUUGUUCUUCUUUCGCUUUAUCUAUUUCUGAAAUGAGUUUAACCUUUAUACACUGAUAGUAUAAAACCGUCUAAAAGAUAACUACAGGCAAUCGUCCAUGAAAAAGUGGGAUUAGUAACCUAGAAAAUAAGGCAGAUAGAAAAUACACUAAUAAUAGUGUAAAAAACUUUUAGAGGAGGGUUAUUAUGUGAGUGUUUACAACACUAAUGGUGAUCCAUUGCAUUUAUUUAAGAUGUGGAAUUACCCUUGACCUCAGGAAGAAAGAAAGUUAUUCAGCUGAACCAAGUUUAUUAUCAAGAACAGUGAGAGAAUCAAAAGUAGUCCUCCAGGUAGAGAGUGAGAUCGAUAUUCUUGAAGACGGCUAUCGCUGGAGAAAAUAUGGCCAAAAAGUUGUCAAAGGGAACCCAAACCCCAGGUAUCUAUUUAUAGGAGGAUAACAUGUAAAUUUCUUAGUUGUAGUUCCCUUGACAGCUUUCUUUUGAUUCUAUUCUUUUAACUCUUGGAAGGGAAGCCUUGGCGUAACCGGUAAAAUUGUUGACAUGUUACCAGGAGUAACGGGUUCGAGCCGUGGAAACAUCUUCUUGCAGAAAUACAGGAUAAGACUGCGUACAAUAGACCUUUGUGGUCCGGCCCUUUCGAGGACCCCGCACAUAGCGGGAGUUUAGUGCACCAGACUGCCUCUUAACUCGUUGAUAUUUAUAAAGAAAUGUUUCCUGUGUAGGAGCUACUAUAAAUGUACCAAUGCUGGAUGCAUAGUGAGGAAGCAUGUGGAAAGGGCUUCAGAUAACUUAAAAUCAGUAAUCACAACAUAUGAGGGGAAACACAACCAUGAAGUGCCUACAGCAAACAAAACAAAUGGUGUUGCUGGACACAUUCGUUCAGCAUCCACGUUGAACGGGCAACCUAAUUGUAUGACAACUCGAAAAAGUGUCAAAGGUUCAAAUUGCAGAAUGCAAGUUCAAGAUCUUCCAUUUCCAUUCGAAAGAAAACCUUUCGUUGGAAGUGAAUAUUUAAGGCCAAGUUUUGUUGGAAGUUACCUCGGUGACUUGAGUUUUGGAGCUUGUUCAUUGCAGCUUCCGAAUUUUCCAUUGCCAUUGCCAUCGCGAAUGAGUUUUCCUGCAAGAUUAAAUGAGCCUCCUCUUGGUGACUUUCAUUUGAAUAACCAUCAUUUACUGCCAAAUGGU